GAGAGAGAGAGAGAGAAAGCCCUUGUUCUCAAGUUCUAAUAGAACUCACCCUCGACUCCGGCUCUCCAACCCUUAACGACGUUCUCAUCCGUAGAAUUCCAUUAGGAUAGGCAACACGAAACGCAUUUCGUUAUUAUCGUUCGUUAACCCCCAGACGAAUCGAUAUCGUUAAGAGAUAAAGGCGAUACACAUUGAUACCAUAGCGCAUGGAAAGGGAUGGAAAAGAAAAAGAAAAAGAAAAAGGAAAAGAAAAAACGAAAAGAAAAAAAAAGAAGAAGAAGAAGAAGAAGAAAAAUGCGUGAAAAGAAGGAUGAGGGAGGAAUGAACAAUAAUAAUGCGAAGAAGAAUAACAAAACAAAAAAAGACAAAAAAAAAAAAAAGAAAAAAGAAAAAAGAAACCAAAACAAGAAUAAGGGAUAGUAAGAGUGGGGCGGGGAGGGGUGGGAGGUAAAGAUGGAAGGAAGCAGGGACUGGGAUGAUGAUUCGAAUUCGUACUAUGAAUGAGCCACAAUGAUAUCGGCUAAAAUGAAAUUGGUAUAUAUCGUGAGUAAGAAAAAGUAAGAAGGAAAGGAAGAAAGAAAGAAAGAAAGAAGAAAGUUUAACCGCUUUACUCGGUGACAGCUUGACAAACACUGAUUACGGAAAAUCCAAAGGCGAGGAGAUAAAGCACGGGCUCGUCGAUUUCUUUUAUCGGCCUAAAUUGCGGUCGUUAUCGGAAGAAUUUUCUCCGUUGGAUCGACUCCACGUUAUUUCUUGGCUCGCUCUAUCUUCUUUACGCGCUACGAACAAAAAAAAAGAAAAGAAA
Vespa velutina is the source of this 805-nucleotide long non-coding RNA. RefSeq lists it as uncharacterized. The record is from RefSeq and is a predicted model, not a curated record. The transcript has 2 exons. Lineage: Eukaryota; Metazoa; Arthropoda; Insecta; Hymenoptera; Vespidae.